RNAcentral lists this long non-coding RNA (699 nucleotides) under Suricata suricatta (meerkat). RNAcentral's name for it is "lncRNA (ENSSSUG00005023704.1)". The record is from RNAcentral. Lineage: Eukaryota; Metazoa; Chordata; Mammalia; Carnivora; Herpestidae.
UCUGCUACGUGUCACUCACCAGGUGCCAGGCAGGGCAUGCGGCCUCAGAGGCAGUGCAGGGAUGAAGAUAGAUCCCCGCCCUCCGGGAGCUCACAGGCUGGGGUGAACAGCCUUUCUCUCUUCUUCUUCUCCUGUGAAUCAGCUCGGGGUGGACCCCGUCACCGAGCAGCAACACGCGCUGUGGAACAUGGAGGAUGGUCAGGUCAGCUCUGACAGGCAGCGUCACACCUCCUGAGGACAGCCAGGAGGACUCCGGCUUUUGCUGAACCUUGCAUCUUGCCUCCUUCCUUCCAAAGGCUCCAGACCCAAGUUCGGCUGCCCUGGAGUCCUGCGUGGCCCCUGGCCAGGCCCUCUGCUGCCCCUCCAGGCCAGCCCAGUUCUGGAGCUCACCUCCAGGACCUGGAGCCUGCCCUCCUGCCCAGAAUGACUCACCAUUAUUUCUCGCUCAAGUGAGAAGGCGUGAUGGGCAGCCAGGCUGCCUAUUUGUGUAUCUAGGAUUCCCACAGUAUCUGAUCAGCUCUGUGUGGAGGAGAGCUUCGGGUUCCUGCCUUGCCAGCCAAGCGAGGCUGUCUCUCCAGCUCUCAGAGAGCCCUCAGGGCUCUGCCACGGGAACCCAGGCCGAUGCUUCUACAUUUCCAGGGGCCGUAAGCAGCACCCUGAGCUCCCUGCCACCAGGCAGCUGGAAGGCAUAGUGUGAGG